RNAcentral lists this long non-coding RNA (447 nucleotides) under Eutrema salsugineum. RNAcentral describes it as "long non-coding RNA (ESAL_LNC000013)". Lineage: Eukaryota; Viridiplantae; Streptophyta; Magnoliopsida; Brassicales; Brassicaceae. The record is from RNAcentral.
UUCGUGAUUGACGCGGCGGCUAAAGCCAAGGUCAAGCGCGUGGUUUUCACGUCAUCGAUCGGUGCCGUUUACAUGAACCCUAACCGUGACCCUCAAACCAUAGUUGACGAAAAUUGUUGGAGUGAUCUCGAUUUCUGCAAAAACACAAAGGUAUGUAACUUUUUCUUUAAAUUUAGCAUCGACACGCCCGGAUAAUUCAGUUUUCUUAGCACAUAGUUUUCUUCCAAUCCAAGUGACCUAAAAGCUCUACGUUUACAAGUGACCAAAAUCAAACAAACAUGCGUUUAGCCUUAAAACCUCAAAAAAUUCGGAACUCGUACUAAUUUAGUUUUGCUGUGUAGAAUUGGUAUUGCUACGGGAAGAUGGUGGCGGAACAGUCAGCGUGGGAGACGGCGAAAGCGAAAGGUGUGGACUUGGUGGUGCUAAAUCCGGUUCUAGUUCUCGGAC